This 74-nucleotide transfer RNA is filed under the name Micromonospora sp. KC723. RNAcentral's name for it is "tRNA-Glu". It matches the Rfam family "tRNA". Rfam says of the family: Transfer RNA (tRNA) molecules are approximately 80 nucleotides in length. Their secondary structure includes four short double-helical elements and three loops (D, anti-codon, and T loops). The record is from RNAcentral. Lineage: Bacteria; Bacillati; Actinomycetota; Actinomycetes; Micromonosporales; Micromonosporaceae.
GGGCCGUUGGAGCGAGCUGGCAGCUCACCUGGUUCUCAGCCAGGAGGUUACGGGUUCGAGCCCCGUACGGCCUA